Amaranthus tricolor (Joseph's coat) is the source of this 679-nucleotide long non-coding RNA. RefSeq lists it as uncharacterized. The record is from RefSeq and is a predicted model, not a curated record. Lineage: Eukaryota; Viridiplantae; Streptophyta; Magnoliopsida; Caryophyllales; Amaranthaceae. The transcript is spliced from 3 exons.
UCUCUUGUUUGUUUAGGUGGAAAUUCAAAGAAAAGGAAAAGAAAAAAAAGAACGGAUAGGAAAUCCCUCCAUUUCCUCUCCUUUUCGAUGUUUCUUUCCCCCACAAUGGUUAUCCAAACAACGGAAAGCAUUUCCCUCCAAAUCCCUCCCCUUCUUUUAUGGCCAAUUCUAUACGGUCUUCAGUGGUCAUAACUAUGUACAGAUUCUGCAUCUUUCAUCUACUUUGCCUCUUAGCUCAGAUUCAAGAUUCAUCUAAAAAGUCCACGAGGUUUGGAUUCUGCCUGUUUUUCUUGCUGGAAUUCAAGAUUUACCACGGGGAAGGCAAUAGGCAUUUUAGAGUGAUUGAAGGUGCUGUAGCUACUGUUCGGUAACCAGAAGGUUGCAGUUGAGUAGUUGAUAACAGAUAUCUUUAGCUAUUGCAUAAAUGAUGUGCAUAGUCUAACAUGGAGUGGGCGUGCCGGAGUGGUUAUCGGGCAUGACUAGAAAUCAUGUGGGCUUUGCCCGCAAAGGUUCAAAUCCUGCUGUUCACGCUCUUUUGUUGAAUAUGAGUUUCUCAAAUUGUGUUCCAAGGAUGGUAUUGUAAGACAUUGUACAUGUGUCUAGGUAGGCCUCAACAAAUGGAUUUAUAGAGAGGAUUUAUAAAACAUUAUUGAAAAGACCUAGAUGUAUCUUGAAUCAA